GUGUCAGCAGCCGCGGUAAGACGAGGGAUCCUAGCGUUGUUCGGAAUCAUUGGGCGUAAAGAGGGCGUAGGUGGCUUGGUAAGUCAGGUGUGAAAGCCCAGGGCUCAACCCUGGAAGUGCAUUUGAUACUGCUGAGCUUGAGUGUUGGAGAGGUUAUCGGAAUACCUGGUGUAGUGGUGAAAUACGUAGAUAUCAGGUGGAACACCGGAGGCGAAGGCGGGUAACUGGCCAAACACUGACACUGAGGCCCGAAAGCGUGGGGAUCAAACAGGAUUAGAUACCCUGGUAGUCC
This 292-nucleotide ribosomal RNA is filed under the name uncultured bacterium. Its description in RNAcentral is "partial 16S ribosomal RNA". It matches the Rfam family "Bacterial small subunit ribosomal RNA", at positions 505 to 796 of the family's 1533-position model. The record is from RNAcentral.